RNAcentral lists this unclassified non-coding RNA (295 nucleotides) under Hevea brasiliensis (rubber tree). The record is from RNAcentral. Lineage: Eukaryota; Viridiplantae; Streptophyta; Magnoliopsida; Malpighiales; Euphorbiaceae.
AAAUUAUUUAAAAAAAAAAAAAAACUCUUGUCUGCUGGAAAAUUCCUCCAGAAGGUUUGUCUGCUUCUGGCAAGUGGUGAAAAAGGGAAGGAAAAAGAAAAUAAAAUGACAAAAUUGAAGAAAAAUUUCUACUUAAUUUAGUAUUAUUGAAAUUUAAUUCCAUCUUGAAACAAUAAUUAAGUAAUUAACUUAUUAAAACAACUGGGUUCAAUCAGAAAAGGUGAUAAGAGUAGAAUUUUCUAAUUUCUUUUCAACUUUUCUCUAGCUUUAGAUUAAUGUUAUAUAAUAAUGAAAA